Molecule: long non-coding RNA, 1634 nt
Filed under: Bos indicus x Bos taurus (hybrid cattle)
Lineage: Eukaryota; Metazoa; Chordata; Mammalia; Artiodactyla; Bovidae
Description: lncRNA (ENSBIXG00005006892.1)
Source: RNAcentral
AUUUUAGACUGCAUUAUCCUCAAAGGAAAGUCAAUAGAUGUAAGGAAAAUGUCAGAAGAAAGAUGGAUUUCUACAUUUUUACACCUAUAUAAAUGAAGUUUUCUUGCAGAACAUGCCUCCUCUGGUUUUAUAGGUACUGAAGACUCACUAGCAAAGCUAAUUCAUGGUAAAAAAAAAAAAAAAAGACGCACAGUGCUCUGCUAAAAGCCAAGCACUGGAGAGCUCCUGGAACCACUCCAUAUUGACAUCUUCGGCUCUCCAUUGCUGUGAAGCACCGUAUUCAACACCUUUUGGAUUAUAUUUUGGAUGGAAUUAAAUCAACAAGCUGCAGAUCUUGGGGUACAAAUCAGAAAUGUCUCCUCCUCUAGGGGCAACUGUGCCGGCCUGCUUCCUCACGGGGUGCUGUCCUUCUGAGCUGAGCUUAGACCAAAAGACAGGACUCUACCCAAGGGUGUACACAAACAGGAGAAAGAAUUGGGAGUGGAGAUUUCAAAUGCAUUCGGGAGGAGUGAUUGGAGAGCUGUGGCUGGGAGAGGCCCAAGCGGGAGCCGGAGCUCGCGUGGUGGAAAACGGCCGCGGGGACCAGGGUGGAGCAGGGACGCUAGUCACACCACCCCGAGACCUGAAAUCGUAGACCUGUUUGGAAUAUGAAUCCCCACAGCUGCGAGAAGGAGGCGGGCUGAUUGAAAUUGUUUGGAAUACUUUCCUGGACAAGUUCUAUUAAAAAUGAGAUAGUGUACCGUAAAUAUCGGAUGCUGUGUUCAAGCAUUUUCUCAGUCCUCCAGCUCCUGAUUCAUUCCCAAAAGCACAAUCUCCUGGAUAUUAUACUGGGACUGUAAGAAGCAGCCCGCCCAAGUUUCCAUCACUCAGAACUGCUACCUUUUUAAACGCAAGCAUGUAAAUGAAAUAUUGACCCCAGGCAAGUCCGCCAUGGGCAGGGACCAAGCACACGCUGAUGUGAUGCAAGGGGAGUUCACGAUAAUGACGUGCAUCCAUCCGCCCCACCACCCCCAGUCCAGCAGUCACACGGAUGAGAGCUUUACCACAGAGAAGCCAAGUCAGUCCAACAGUAACCACAUGAAAAGGAAAAGAAGUCCAACACGAAACCAGUGUUUCCUCAACAGCUGUUUGUUGACAUUUAAUUUUGACCCUGAAAGUCCACUUUUCAGAGAUUAGCUAAUAAUUGCAGCAGGGCAUAGGCUCAGCAGAAACACAUAAAUAACACCCCCCCCCCUGCAGCCCUGCAGCUGGUGGUCACGGUGAUUAUCACUGAGUUAUUUCACGGCACUUCCAAGAGCGCCUAGACUUUUGGAGGCUCGAGGGGAUUGUCAGGAGGUAUCCUUCCCCAAAUGACACAGCGCGGGGCCCUCCUUGUCCAGCCCAUCCACUGCCUUGGCACCGCCCAGGGAAAUCUAGCUGCUCUCAGAAUUCCCCAUUCAUUUCCAGGAUAGCCCCACUUGACGCUGGUGGCAUUAGCAUUACAUCACAGCCUGAAGUCUAAUCACACCCCAAGAGAGAGGGAGGAGAGGGAGCAAGACCCGCCUGGCCGCCUGGCUGGGACGGAACAGCUUCCUGGGUCAGAGGUGACAGCACUGUGAUGCUCAGUGGGGGUGGAGUGGGGUUACUCAGGAAAG